GAGUCUUUGCCAAAAAGAUGCUAGAGUUAUGCUCUUUGGCAUCGCCCAAGGAUGAGGCCGCGACCGAUCAGGUUGUUGGUGAGGUAAUGGCUCACCAAGCCUUUUACCGGUGCGGGCCGUGAGAGCGGGAGCCCGGAGAUGGGCACUGAGACAAGGGCCCAGGCCCUACGGGGCGCAGCAGUCGCGAAAACUUUGCAAUACACGAAAGUGUGACAGGGCUAUCCCGAGUGCCAUCCGCUGAGGAAGGCUUUUACCCAGCCUAGAACGCUGGGGGAAUAAGGAGAGGGCAAGUCUGGUGUCAGCCGCCGCGGUAAUACCAGCUCUCCGAGUGGUGUGGAUGUUUAUUGGGCCUAAAGCAUCCGUAGCUGGCUAAGUUAGUCCCUUGUUAAAUCCACCGAAUUAAUCGUUGGAUUGCGGGGGAUACUGCUUGGCUAGGGGACGAGAGAGGCAGACGGUAUUUCCGGGGUAGGGGUGAAAUCCUAUAAUCCCGGGAAGACCACCAGUGGCGAAGGCUGUCUGCUAGAACGCGCCCGACGGUGAGGGAUGAAAGCUGGGGGAGCGAACCGGAUUAGAUACCCGGGUAGUCCCGGCUGUAAACGAUGCAGGCUAGGUGUUUGGACGGCCACGUGCCGUUCUAGUGCCGCAGGGAAGCUGUUAAGCCUGCCGCCUGGGGAGUACGAUCGCAAGAUUGAAACUUAAAGGAAUUGGCGGGGGAGCACCACAAGGGGUGAAGCUUGCGGUUUAAUUGGAGUCAACGCCGGG
This 762-nucleotide ribosomal RNA is filed under the name uncultured archaeon. RNAcentral's name for it is "bacterial SSU rRNA". It matches the Rfam family "Archaeal small subunit ribosomal RNA", at positions 177 to 922 of the family's 1478-position model. The record is from RNAcentral.